UACACAUGUGCCAACGCGUGCCAAAAAAGCAUGGCUUUUUGAAAAUGGCCACAUCAGGUCUGCCUUGGAAUUUGGCUGUGACUGGGAUUCUGACAGAGUAAUGGAGGCAAUAAAAACAGCCUUCCAGCCAGCUGUGGAGGGAUGCAGGUUAGAAAUACUGCUGCCAUGCUACAACAAACUUGUUGAGCCAUCCCUUACCCCCACACAGAGUUUGAAUGGAGACCUUGUGAAAAAACUGUUUCAUCAGAAGUCCAUUUAUGUCAGGCCUGACAAGAUCAUUUUAAGUGAGGAAAAAGAAUCUUCAGUUUCUGACGGAGAAAGCAGCUUUACAAAUGACCCUGGUUUGGCAGAAAUAUCUCACACGG
Larimichthys crocea (large yellow croaker) is the source of this 365-nucleotide long non-coding RNA. RefSeq lists it as uncharacterized. The transcript has 3 exons. NCBI's taxonomy places the organism in Eukaryota, Metazoa, Chordata, Actinopteri, Sciaenidae. The record is from RefSeq and is a predicted model, not a curated record.